GCAGACAGGAGUGUCUGGCUCAGCAAGACAGGGUGCUGGAGUCCUGAGUUGGCAGGGAAAGCAGGGGUAGAAGUAGUCUGGGCACAUCAGGUGGCAGCUCCCAGAGGGUUUCUGUGAUCCCACCUGUCACAAAUGCCUUUCUAGAGGCCCUUUGAGAACUUACACAUCGGUAGCCCUGUGGGAGUAAGUCUAUCAUGCAUCUGCUGUUUUUGCUCAUGUCUGAGACACAGAUCUCAAGAGGAAAAUCUGGAAAAGGACAAAAUGGAAGAAUGAACUGUAGUAAGAUUUGGGGCCUUAUGCUAAUUCUUGCCCAGUCUUGAGUUAAAGAUUUGUGUUACCUUAACAUGUACAGUAACUCCUCACUUAAAGUCGUCCCGGUUAACGUUGCUAUGUUGCUGAUCAUUUAGGGAACAUGCUCAUAUAAAGUUGUGCAAUGCUCCCUUCUAAUGUCGUUUGGCAGCUGCCUGCUUUGUCUACUGAAGAGUAUCUCAGUGAAAGUUUUUUAAUCCUCUGCCAAAGGUUUGGGAUGGAAGCCUUAUUUCUUCUUCCGUAGUAGGAUGCUUUCCCAUACCAGACCGUGAUAACUUUGGCAGGCAUCAUUGAAGUACCCAGGCUAGCAACACGCGGGCAGCUUCAGAACGCCAGCAGCAGCUGUGCUCUCUAUACCGGGGUCGGCAACCUACAGCACGCAUGCAAAAGAGUGGAUUUCUUCAAUAUGAUAUAUUAUUUGCUUCCUUAUCACACACCAGAUCAUUGGGUUCUUGCGAUAGCAUUGAUGCAAACAAAAGAAUUAUUAACAAUUGACCCCUUGUGUGAUGAGAUGAGAUAUGAAAGAACAUGUCUAAGGAAUUGGAGUUUCAGAUACUUCAUCAAACGAUUAAUGAGCAACUCCCCAUCUGAUUGGAAGAAUAAAAUUCUUCAGCAUAAUAAACAAAAAGUGAUGGCCACAACUGCGGACCACUCAUCUUAAAGGUUUUGAAUACAAAAUUGCCAUUAUCAUUUAUGUAUGUGAAAUUAUCAGGGGUGAAAGUAAAUGUGGAAGAUUACUGGUGUGCACUGCACCAGCGUCCUUGCCAUGGCGUGUGGGGUAUGCUCUGGGCCCUCAGAAGGGAUGGGUCUUGGGUGGAAGAUGUGGGCUGGGGGGCCAGAUUCCCCCAGCCAGCCCUUCCUGACAGCUGCUGUGGUGGUGGGAAGGAGCCCCAGGCCCUUUUGAAUCACUGACCCCCAGGGCAACUGCCCCUUUUCCUCCCCCACUGUUGGUGGCCCUGCCGGUAUCAUCCAGCAGCGCUGUCAGACCCUAUGGCAGGGCCACAGAUGUGAGGAGAGGUAACGGGGGCAGGGACCUGAAAGCAUAAAGCACUGCCACAGCAGCACUGUAACGUCAUCCGUGUACGGGCCGGAACCGGUGGCCAGUUCUUACCAGCAUGCUGGCCCAGCCCACUUUCACCUCUGGGAAUUGUGAUAUUUUUUCUAAAUAGAAGUGUUAUUAGUUUGCAGAAACGUAUUUGUGGCAGAAAGACAUCAAUUCAAUAGAAACACAUCACAAGAGGCUAAUGCUGAGUUUAGAAGACAAGUAGCAAUUGUUCUAGUGAAAGAGUCAGAAAGCGUGGAGGACUACUGCAUAUACUGCAACCUUGUCAGUUGUGAAAAGGAAAGUGAGGAUUGCACGAUGGUCCAGUGUGAUUCUUGCAAGAGGUGGGUACAUAUGCCCUGCAUUCCAGAAGGAACAAAUCAUGAAAUCCUCACUGAUGAGGAAAAAGAAUACGAGUGCAAAAAAAAGAACUGAACUAUGCACUAUCAGAAAAAUGACAUUAUCUGUAAAUAGUUGUUGUUAAAAAUGGCUUUGAACAAAAAGCUAACCUUUUAUUUAUAUACCGGAUUACAAUAAAGUUUUUAAAAUUGGAAAAACACUUCUCUGUAUUUGUGUCCCUGUGUAUAAGGCAAAUUAUACAGGCAGCAAGAAGGGAGGGAAUAGUGAGUGUUUUGGACCACAGAACCCCAUCCCUCCUAAUUUGAAACCCCUGGACUGGUGACCGGUGGAUGGGCAGCAAAGUCCUUGCAAAUAAGCAAGGAAGAAGCCAGUGGGGAAAAAAAUCAGAGUAUCACCUUGGGCUCAUGGACAUCCUCCGUACCCCCAAAGCUUACCUCCCUUUUCACGUACUCACACACACGGUGAAACAGCACGCCUCAAUCAUCCAAUUUGGCACAUUAGCAAGGACGAAGCAAAUUGUGAGUGUUUUCGACCAAAAACCCCAUCCCUCCUGAUUGGCAACCCUUGGCCCAGGCGGUAGCUAGUCUUGAGCAGUAGCCAAGAUGGUUGCGUUUGCGUGGCGGAAACUGCACCUAGUUUCAAAAGGGGGAGGGUUGCUAUUUGUGUCACCAUACCUGCUCCUGCCAGCAGGGGUCUCAGCUGCUGGCCUGCUCAGCCCGCUGCCAGCCUGGGGUUCCUUGGGGGUCCCCAGGCCAGCAGCGGGCACUGAGUGGGGCUGGUGGCCGGAACCCCAGAGCGGCGGUGAGCUGAGCGUGCUGUAGGUUGAUGAUCCCUGCUGUGUGAGGAAGAUCCCCCAGGGGCCAUGGCAAAGAACAGGAGGUGUUGGGGGUGGCUGUUGGCUUUUCCUCUGCCCCAUUACACUCCCCCGGGGGCUCCCAAGUCAGCACCCACCAGUUUGGGUUUUCUCUUUCCUGUGUGAACCUCUUAACCCCCUUCUCCCCCCCUUCAUCCCUGCAGCAUCUACCUCCGCCUGGUCCUUGCACUGCCAAGCGAAGGGGCUGGGUAGAAAUGCUGAGCAGCUCACUGAGAUGAGGGAGCAGCUGCCUCUGGCACUGGAGCAGGGUAGAGGGAGGGGGAAACACACUCAGCGGCUGGGAUACACUUGGGGAAAGAGAAUGAGGAGAGAAGCGCACCCCCCCCCCACACACACACACAACCACACACACGCAGGCAGAGCGCAAGGACACACAUGCACAGUUUUCAAGGCAUGCAGCUGCACCCAGAGUCAGGCACCCCACGCCCAGUGCCUGAGACAAAGUGAAGGAGCAGGGGGCACAGACACCACGUGAGAACCAGGCACCAGGGCUGAGAUGCACAUGAGAGAAAGACGGGCUGAGAGGAGACAGGCCCCCGCCCACACUGACCGAGAGUGGGAUGCGGCCACACAGACACAGACCAAAAGACGCACUGAGAUUGUGACAGACACACCUCAGGGACUGGCAGCCACACACCCAAAGCGGCUGAUGCACACACCUGGCGUCUGAGUGAGUCUCACACACACAGGGUGAUUACAUGCAGAUGGUGAUCUCACACACACACACACACACACACACACACACACACAUCUCUCUCUCACAGGAUCUCUCACACACUGUGACUGUACUCACCCCUCCAGUGACUGAGAACGCCAGGCUCCCUGUGGAAUCUGAGCGCAGCAGCAGCAAACGCACCCUGGGUCUGGUCCUUCUCUCUCUUUUUCCAUUUGGUCAAACGGCACCUACCCAAGCCCUGAAAAAAUGCCUGCUCGUGAAGCGAGGAGAGGGCGCCGGGUCUGUAAAUAAGAAGUUAACCUCCAGCGGGUACUCGAGAGAAGAUCCUAUGCCUGUGGAAAAUGACAUUGCCUCCUUCCUCUGGGGCAUGCCCAGCUUCCAGAGAGCUGGGCAAGAGACUUGUUUGAAUCUACAUUUAGAAUGGCGGCACCUGACUUGCUGGAUCCCAAAUCUGCCACUCAGAACUCCAAACCACGGCUAUCAUUUUCUACAAAACCCACAGUGCUCUUGUCACGAGAGGAAUGUGAUUCGGCUAUUAAUGUUAUGAAAUGGAAGACAGUCUCGACGAUUUUUCUGGUGGUUGUUGUAUAUUUAAUAAUUUAAUAUUUAAUAAUACUGUCUUCAAACCCUGGAGCAGCCACAUGAAACUUCUCAAAGAGCCACCAUUGUGAUUCAGAAGCAGACGUUUGUAUCUGAGGGUUCCUGUGUGAAUGCAUCGGAGCUCGAUGAAGUAAUUCAAGUCAUUCAUGUAAAAAAGUAACUUGUUCCUAUGUUUUAGAAGAAUGAAUUCUUCUAUAGCAAUACUUCUGUGAUAAUUGGGACACCACUGUAUUAGCAUUUGAGCUGCAAAUGUAUCAAGAUGGCUAACUUAAGACAGAAAGGUUGGCAAUAGCUUUUUUAAAUGAGGCUUCAGCUGACAAGUCAUUGCUAAUUUUUUUUAUGUUCAGUGUGCAUUAUAGACAACUUUUAAAUUGAAUGCUCCU
RNA transcript from Mauremys mutica (yellowpond turtle), 4244 nucleotides. RefSeq lists it as uncharacterized. Lineage: Eukaryota; Metazoa; Chordata; Testudines; Geoemydidae. The transcript is spliced from 8 exons. The record is from RefSeq and is a predicted model, not a curated record.